UGGGGAAUCUUGGACAAUGGGGGCAACCCUGAUCCAGCCAUGCCGCGUGAGUGAUGAAGGCCUUAGGGUCGUAAAGCUCUUUCGCCUGUGAAGAUAAUGACGGUAGCAGGUAAAGAAACCCCGGCUAACUCCGUGCCAGCAGCCGCGGUAAUACGGAGGGGGUUAGCGUUGUUCGGAAUUACUGGGCGUAAAGCGCACGUAGGCGGACCAGAAAGUUGGGGGUGAAAUCCCGGGGGCUCAACCCCGGAACUGCCUCCAAAACUAUUGGUCUAGAGUUCGAGAGAGGUGAGUGGAAUUCCAAGUGUAGAGGUGAAAUUCGUAGAUAUUUGGAGGAACACCAGUGGCGAAGGCGGCUCACUGGCUCGAUACUGACGCUGAGGUGCGAAAGUGUGGGGAGCAAACAGGAUUAGAUACCCUGGGUAGUCCACACCGUAAAACGGUGGGCGCUAGGUGUGGGGAUCGUUUCC
Molecule: ribosomal RNA, 467 nt
Filed under: uncultured bacterium
Lineage: Bacteria
Description: bacterial SSU rRNA
Rfam family: Bacterial small subunit ribosomal RNA
Source: RNAcentral